UACGGAAGGCAGCAGUGGGGAAUAUUGCACAAUGGGCGAAAGCCUGAUGCAGCUAUGCCGCGUGUAUGAAGAAGGCCUUAGGGUUGUAAAGUACUUUCAUCGGGGAGGAAAAAACAAAACUAAUAAUUUUAUUUCUUGACGUUACCCGAAAAAGAAGCACCGGCUAACUCCGUGCCAGCAGCCGCGGUAAUACGGAGGGUGCUAGCGUUAAUCAAAUUACUGGGCGUAAAGAGCACGUAGGUGGUUUUUUUAAGUUCAGAUGUGAAAUCCCUGGGCUUAACCUAGGAACUGCAUUUUGAAACUGAAAUACUAGAGUAUCGUAGAGGGAGGUAGAAUUCUAGGUGUAGCGGUGAAAUGCGUAGAUAUCUGGAGGAAUACCUGUGGCGAAAGCGGCCUCCUAAACGAAUACUGACACUGAGGGUGCGAAAGCGUGGGGAGCAAACAGGGAUUAGAUACC
Molecule: ribosomal RNA, 457 nt
Filed under: uncultured bacterium
Lineage: Bacteria
Description: bacterial SSU rRNA
Rfam family: Bacterial small subunit ribosomal RNA
Source: RNAcentral